This 497-nucleotide ribosomal RNA is filed under the name uncultured bacterium. RNAcentral's name for it is "partial 16S ribosomal RNA". It matches the Rfam family "Bacterial small subunit ribosomal RNA", at positions 28 to 507 of the family's 1533-position model. The record is from RNAcentral.
GACGAACGCUGGCGGCGUGCCUAAUACAUGCAAGUUGAGCGAUGAAGAUUGGUGCUUGCACCAAUUUGAAGAGCAGCGAACGGGUGAGUAACGCGUGGGGAAUCUGCCUUUGAGCGGGGGACAACAUUUGGAAACGAAUGCUAAUACCGCAUAACAACUUUAAACAUAAGUUUUAAGUUUGAAAGAUGCAAUUGCAUCACUCAAAGAUGAUCCCGCGUUGUAUUAGCUAGUUGGUGAGGUAAAGGCUCACCAAGGCGAUGAUACAUAGCCGGCCUGAGAGGGUGAUCGGCCACAUUGGGACUGAGACACGGCCCAAACUCCUACGGGAGGCAGCAGUAGGGAAUCUUCGGCAAUGGACGAAAGUCUGACCGAGCAACGCCGCGUGAGUGAAGAAGGUUUUCGGAUCGUAAAACUCUGUUGGUAGAGAAGAACGUUGGUGAGAGUGGAAAGCUCAUCAAGUGACGGUAACUACCCAGAAAGGGACGGCUAACUACGUG